RNAcentral lists this long non-coding RNA (2630 nucleotides) under Takifugu rubripes (torafugu). RNAcentral's name for it is "lncRNA (ENSTRUG00000029101.1)". Lineage: Eukaryota; Metazoa; Chordata; Actinopteri; Tetraodontiformes; Tetraodontidae. The record is from RNAcentral.
GUUUUAUCCAAAGCUUUUUCUGUGUUGAGAUCUUUCAAAAUAAAAAAAAUUUAAGUAAUAAAAGUAACUAAAACCCCAGUAGUCAGUUAAAAUGUAAAAGUGUUUGUUGGGACAGGUGUUGCUCCGGUCGGCUGUUUGCGCCCAGGGUAUUUUUAGAGAAUCCAGUGCUAUUUUUACAGUGCGUUGUACACAAUAAUGUCAAGGAUCUAAUCUCAGCAACUGCAUUACAACAGGGAUUUGACAGCUCUUGAGAUGAUGAUGAAACAACAUCAAGAGCUAAAAGGCAAAAUAGAUGGCCGCAGCAAGACCAUACAGCAGUGUGCAGAUCUUGGCAAGAUCUUGAUAGCUGCAGGAGAUUCGGCAUCAGAGGAGGUUAGCAAAAUCCUGUCAUGAAUUAAUCCAUGCUGUAUCUUACACUUAUUACAAAUGCAUACAUUUAGACACAUAUGUUGUGCAGUAUAUAGGAUCUGUAGUUUGGACAAUUGACUAAUCUAUCCCAACAGAUUAAAGAGAAGCUGGAAAGUCUCCAGGCCAAACAAAGAGAUCUUCUUGAAAAGUGGGGAAAACAUGAGGAAAAAUUGCAGAAGAGUGAGUAUUAUCAGAUGAUCACUAUUUUCUAGAAUCAGCAUGAUUAAACUGGUGAAACAAAAAAAAAAUACUGGUGAAAUUACUGUCAAGUAAUAACUUUCUACCAAAGUGUUCAUUGAUGUAAUCAGAAGUGUGUUGAAUGCCUGAUGUCCACUCCAGAGAAGGAAAGAUUCCACUUUUCCCAGGAGACAGUAAAGGCUGAAGUCUGGUUGAAGGCCAAGGAGCCACUGAUCACUUCUGAUGAGCAAGAGAGAGAAGCACAAAGCCAAAAAGAUGAAGUCGAGCAACUCAUCCUUCGUCAUAAGGCCUUCCGCAAGGCUGCUGUAACCUGGAAAGAACGCUUCAGUUCGCUCCGAAAACUUUCCACAACUGAGAACAAACAAGGGGGAGAGACUACACCAUCAUUCUCCAGCCAGAGGAUGCUCCCAUUAUCCUGUCUAACUCCCAGUGUUCCGUCAAGCAGUUCUUCCUCAUUGUUCUUGAGGCAUGUGGCACAAGCACAAAUUGAGGCCAAGACCAAUUUAGAUCUAAGUACCACAUCUGUAACCCAGAGACUGUGUUCAUCUCCAGCGAGCUACAACUCACCAAUAAAUGAUUCGGGCUAUGCUGGACUGGGACAACACUGCAGUGGGAAGCUCGUUACCUCAACAUACGUUGGAAUGAACCACGAAGCCGCUGGAGGUGACAGUGAUACUGCAUUCUCGGUGAUAACCUCCCAUCGUGAUGGUGUGAACACGUCAUCGUAUCUCACAAUAAACCCUCCAACUAGUGGCAGUGUAGACAGCUCUGGAGACUUUGGCCUGACAGCUGGGUCUGUGGGUAGAAUGCAACACCAUCCGGGUGAUGGAAGGUUAGAAAGUCCAGUUAACCUUGCUCAGCAAUCAAGCGGCACAGGAGGAAUUCCUACUUACCUGCAUCAACCAAAGAUGGGUAAUUCUGGAUAUUUGGGUCAACCUCAACAUAUACGAUGUUCUGGAUAUGUGGACCAACAAUCCAUUUUAGGGGACACUGUCAAUUUAACACAACACCAGAAUAUGGUGGAUUCUGGCUACCUAGGGCAAAUUUAUCCAAGUAGUGGGGGUACGUCUGCCACAGACUACCUACCCCGAAGUCAUUUUGGCAGUGGUCUGAUCAGCUCUGGUUACCUAACACAGAGUGGUGGCAUACUGGAGCCUAAAAUGGCAUAUACAUGGCAGAAUCUGAAAUCUGACUUUACACAGCCUAAGAUCAACAACCUGCACAAGGCUGUCAACCCUCUUCUACAUGUUAGUACAAUGCAAAGGGAACACUAUGGAGAAACCCCACUGGCGAACAUGAUAGGGCCAGAAACAGGGCUAGAACUCCUUCAUGGCCGUCUCCAGAGGGAUCCUCGAGGCAGUCGUUCUGAUCCUCAGAUGGACCAUCUCAGGCAAGAGAGAGAGUACAAACUGGGUAGACAGACCUCUAGUGAACAGGAGAUCCAAGCCAGGCUGAAUGAGCUUCCGAUGAUUGUGCGUCAAGAACGCUAUCGGAGGCAUUUGGAGCGACAGUCUUCAAGUGAAAAAGAGGGAAGCAGUAAGCAGAGAUUGCAAAGGCAGGACUCAAGUGACCUUGAGGCAUCUAUCAAAACUGGCUCUGACAAACACACAAGUGACAAGAGAACAACCAUGGCAGAGAUUGUAGAACAAGUCCAGGAGAGAGAAGCAGCACAUGUGCGUAAGACUGGCACAAUAAAGGAGCCCAUUGUGCAAUGUUACCGGUCUUUUGUCGUGAACUUUCCUUCUGUUUAUUUAGUCAAGAGGAGAAAUGUAUCGACCUUCUAGCAGCCUCUCAGCACCCGUUACUCGUUUUGAUGGGCGACCCCGUGCAAGAGACCGUCCAAAGCCAAGGAGGAGGCCCCGCCCAAAAGAGCCUGAGGAGGCACGGCGGUCACGCUCAGCUCCAGCUACUGGUGCCCCAACAACACCGCAGCCACCUUCACAUACUGCCCAGAAUGAAGGUUUCCUUUACCGCAAGAAAGUCACCACCUCUGACCUGGAAGGUCAACAGAGGAGCCCAAACAG